GGAGAAGUUCUCUCGGCAGAGCAAGUUACAAGGUUUUGAGGUACCCUCGUCGCAGAGAGUGGUUUUUGAUUUUUGAAAUGUUAGAUUGUGAGGGAUGGAAAGUGACCGUUAGCAGUGAAGUAGGAAGUGAAUUGGGUAAGGUGAAGGAGUAAGCCAGACAGACUGAAUAAUCUCUGCAACUGCAAGGUACAGCCGCUUGACGCUUCACUGCGGUGAUCAAGAAUUAAAAGCCCAUUUCAACCUCACCUCUAUAUGUAUAGAAAUGACCAAAUAAACACAAACCAAAAACCAUAUGCACCCAACCCAGAAGGGGUGGCUCCUCCUAUCAAUCCAGAUCAUUCUCCUCAUUGCCCUUAGCUCAUUUUCUCUCUCUUCAGCCACCAUCGCCACCAUUUACCCUCUCUAUAAACUGCCCACCACCAUAUCAAAAUUCCCGACAAGAAACUCUCUGGGCUUGAAUUCUUGAGGUUAUAGCUAACCUCACUUUUCAUUUUGAAGCAAUCAAUGAUAAACUGGCGCACUUUAA
This 526-nucleotide unclassified non-coding RNA is filed under the name Hevea brasiliensis (rubber tree). Lineage: Eukaryota; Viridiplantae; Streptophyta; Magnoliopsida; Malpighiales; Euphorbiaceae. The record is from RNAcentral.